GACGAACGCUGGCGGCGUGCUUAACAUAUGCAAGUCGAACGGUGAACCUCUUCGGAGGGGAUCAGUGGCGAACGGGUGAGUAACACGUGGGCAACCUGCCCCCGGCUCUGGGAUAACUCCAAGAAAUUGGGGCUAAUACCGGAUGUUCACCGCUUCCCGCAUGGGUGGUGGUGGAAAGGGUUUCCGGCUGGGGAUGGGCCCGCGGCCUAUCAGCUUGUUGGUGGGGUAGUGGCCUACCAAGGCGACGACGGGUAGCCGGCCUGAGAGGGUGACCGGCCACACUGGGACUGAGACACGGCCCAGACUCCUACGGGAGGCAGCAGUGGGGAAUAUUGCGCAAUGGGCGGAAGCCUGACGCAGCGACGCCGCGUGGGGGAUGACGGCCUUCGGGUUGUAAACCUCUUUCAGCGGGGACGAAGCGCAAGUGACGGUACCUGCAGAAGAAGCACCGGCCAACUACGUG
Molecule: ribosomal RNA, 463 nt
Filed under: uncultured bacterium
Lineage: Bacteria
Description: partial 16S ribosomal RNA
Rfam family: Bacterial small subunit ribosomal RNA
Source: RNAcentral